UGGGGAAUAUUGGACAAUGGGCGCAAGCCUGAUCCAGCCAUGCCGCGUGAGUGAUGAAGGCCCUAGGGUUGUAAAGCUCUUUCACCGGUGAAGAUAAUGACGGUAACCGGAGAAGAAGCCCCGGCUAACUUCGUGCCAGCAGCCGCGGUAAUACGUAGGUGGCAAGCGUUGUCCGGAAUUAUUGGGCGUAAAGCGCGCGCAGGUGGUUUAGAAAGUCUGAUGUGAAAGCCCACGGCUCAACCGUGGAGGGUCAUUGGAAACUAAUAAACUUGAGUGCAGGAGAGAAAAGUGGAAUUCCUAGUGUAGCGGUGAAAUGCGUAGAGAUUAGGAGGAACACCGGUGGCGAAAGCGGCUUUUUGGCCUGCAACUGACACUGAGGCGCGAAAGCGUGGGGAGCAAACAGG
RNAcentral lists this ribosomal RNA (404 nucleotides) under Verrucomicrobiota bacterium. RNAcentral describes it as "Verrucomicrobia bacterium partial 16S ribosomal RNA". It matches the Rfam family "Bacterial small subunit ribosomal RNA", at positions 355 to 776 of the family's 1533-position model. Lineage: Bacteria; Pseudomonadati; Verrucomicrobiota. The record is from RNAcentral.